Molecule: ribosomal RNA, 253 nt
Filed under: uncultured bacterium
Lineage: Bacteria
Description: partial 16S ribosomal RNA
Rfam family: Bacterial small subunit ribosomal RNA
Source: RNAcentral
UACGAAGGGGGCUAGCGUUGUUCGGAAUCACUGGGCGUAAAGCGCACGCAGGCGGUCUGCUAAGUUUGGAGUGACAGUUGGUGGCUUAACUGCCAAAGUGCUUCGAAAACUGACAGACUUGAGGGCUUCAGAGGGACACGGAAUUCCGGGUGGAGUGGUGAAAUGCGUAGAGAUCCGGAGGAACACCAAAGGCGAAGGCAGUGUCCUGGGGAGUACCUGACGCUCAGGUGCGAAAGCCAGGGGAGCGAACGGG